This 253-nucleotide ribosomal RNA is filed under the name uncultured bacterium. Its description in RNAcentral is "partial 16S ribosomal RNA". It matches the Rfam family "Bacterial small subunit ribosomal RNA", at positions 524 to 776 of the family's 1533-position model. The record is from RNAcentral.
GACGGAGGGGGCUAGCGUUGUUCGGAAUGACUGGGCGUAAAGGGCGCGUAGGCGGCAAAUCAAGUCAGGUGUGAAAGCCUUGGGCUCAACCCAAGAAUAGCGCUUGAUACUGGUUGGCUAGAGGAUGGAAGAGAAAAGCGGAAUUCCUAGUGUAGAGGUGAAAUUCGUAGAUAUUAGGAAGAACACCAGUGGCGAAGGCGGCUCACUGGUCCGGUACUGACGCUGAGGUGCGAAAGCGUGGGGAGCAAACAGG